UACGGGGGGGGCAAGCGUCGUUCGGAAUUACUGGGCGUAAAGGGCUCGUAGGCGGCCAACUAAGUCGGAUGUGAAAUCCCCAAGCUUAACUUGGGAACUGCAUCCGAUACUGGAUGGCUUGAAUCCGGGAGAGGGAUGCAGAAUUCCAGGUGUAGCGGUGAAAUGCGUAGAUAUCGAGAGGAACACCUGCGGCGAAGGCGGGUUGCUGGGCUGACACUGACGCUGAUGCGCGAAAGCCAGGGGAGCGAACGGG
Molecule: ribosomal RNA, 253 nt
Filed under: uncultured bacterium
Lineage: Bacteria
Description: partial 16S ribosomal RNA
Rfam family: Bacterial small subunit ribosomal RNA
Source: RNAcentral